Molecule: long non-coding RNA, 2108 nt
Organism: Carassius auratus (goldfish)
Lineage: Eukaryota; Metazoa; Chordata; Actinopteri; Cypriniformes; Cyprinidae
Exons: 6
Source: RefSeq, a predicted model, not a curated record
GUUUAUAGAUUAAUUACUUCCAAUUAUAGGUUUCUCUGCCUUCAGAGUAAUGAGUUAUACCCAGCUGACCAGCAGGUGUCUCCCACACAGGACCUCAUAAAGAAGAGCAGCUCCUCAUCAGAGCAGGAAAUGGGUGAAGAGGCAGCUCAUGGCACAGUUGAAGGUCUUUUCCAAAUUCACCAAUCCAAAAACUUUAUAUAUGGAGGCAAAACUAAGUGAACUGUACACCCAACUUCUGUGCCAUAAAGACCAACAAAUCCAGAAAAUAGCACUGGACUGUUUGAUGACAUACAAAGACCCUAACAUACUGGCCUACAAAGAACACCUGGAGAGACUUCUGAAUGAAAAGCACUAAAUGAUAUUGUCCGUUUCAACAUCUCAGAGGAAGGAGCCAUGGUACUUCCGUCGCAUAGAACCCAGCUCACUCCCAUACUUAUGAGCUGCCAUCGGGAUGAGAUUCACUUUGGUCACCGCGCACGUUAAGAGAGAUGAGCACACUGGAUAUGAGAUACCUGACUCCUGUCAUGCACAACACUUUCCAUUCUCUAGAGAUCGGUGACAUGUCUCUGGCAGACAGCGCCACCAUGUGUUUGUCAGCUGUAAUAACGCAGCUCAGUGAAGUCGGAUGCCCAAAGGCAGAUGAAGAACGAGAUUGUGCACUACAUCAUACUGGAUACAAUACGAAAAGGUUUGAAGAGCAAGACUGAGGUAAACAGUAACAGCUUAGCUUACAUUAAACUGAAUUAAUGAUUGUUUUGUUUCGAAACCAUUAGAUGAGAGAGCUUGUCCUGUCCUUCUCUUACCAACUUUAGUCAACGUUCUUGGAUAUUUCUGCUGGAGAGCAAGUAGGAAAUAAUAACAAUUUCAGUGUUUUUGUUGCCUAAUUAUAUAUUAGUAAUCAUUUAAGUAUAUUAUGUAAUUCUUUUUAAUUACAAAAAACAUCAGAAAUCUUAAUCGUCAUGUUAAUGAAUACAUUCGAAAGUUUUACCUGACUUAUUUCAUUUGUUUUCUAGACUUCUAGGUGGCUUUUAAUAUUUAAUAGUAUAAAUUGUAUUAUGUAUGUUAUUUACUUGUAUAAAUUACAUUUUAAUUAGUUAAUCAGAAAUCAUUUAAUUAAAUUGAAUUAUAUUUUUAUAAAUUGGUGAAAGAAUUAAUAAUCUUAUUUGAGAAACAUAAAUCAUGAUUCAUUUUAUCUGUUUAAGUUGUUGAUUCACAGUAUUAUCUCAGUAUACCUUUAUAACCUGUAUUGAUUGUAUUCAUUAUUUUCCUAUUUUAUUUUCUAGACUAUGUUACAAAAAUGUCUAAAUGUUUAAUUUUUAAUUAACCAUUUUUAAUGUUAAAUUGUAUCGAAGAUAAAAAAUGUUAACUUUAUUGUAAUAUUUAAUUUUUCUGUUUUUUUAUCAUACGUUAAGAUCAUUAGUUUUUAGUCAAAUCAGGUGGUUAAGAACUUACUUUAUGGGGCCUAUCUACCUCAACUCACCAGAGUCAAAUCCAGCUGAAGAACAGGAGGGUGAGUAGAAAGAAAUGACAGACAACAUGGAGGAGAAUGAAGAGGAAUAUAAGAAGCAGGAGCUUGAGGAGCAACAGACACACCGAAAGUGCCUUUGAAGGUGGGCGUUAAAUCAGUCUUUCUGUUUAUGCUUGACCUCUCUGAAUGAUACAGAUAGAUCGCUGGUAGGAACAUCCUCUGAUUUAAGGAUCUCCAGCUCAGGGAUCCGAGAUAAGCAAAAGUUUGCAAAGGCAAACUAGUUUUUCUAGUUCUCUCUGACUUUUGUAGCAGUGCAGAAAGAAGCCGUUCAGAGACGAGCUUCACACAAGAAAGCCAAAGCCAUGCAGGUAAAACAUGUUUCUGAAUGCUGCUCUAAAGUGUGUCACUGGUUGUUCUUCUAGUCUUCAGAGACAACUAUAAAUAAAUCAUUUGUUCGUUAAUUUCCAGGUUACACAUCUUUACAACCAAAGUAAAAAUUAAACGUUAAUUAUAUUCAUGAUUUCCCUUCACAGGCUGAUGUAAAUCCUGACAUUGCUGCCAGAAAGAAGGUAAAAGAAGCGGUUAAAGAAAAACGAGGCCAAAAAGCAGAAAAUCGCAUUUGUGUGUACAGGAUAUAAAG